UGAAAGAAGGUGCUUGUUGUUGAAAGUUGCAUGUUUGAACUUCUCUUUGAUGUGAUUGAUGGUUUUUAGAUUGCAUUAAUUGACUUAUCCCUGGUAAUUGCAUGAUAUAAAUAUUUCAAUAUUGCGCAAGCCUGGCAUGUGAACAAGCUGAAACUAUCAGAAAAGUCAUCAUGGAUGCGUAAAGGUCUUAUAUAGAAUAUUUGUGAAAAUGAGGAAGUUUAUAGCAUUAACUUCCCCUACUUUACUAGCGUCAAGUGGAAUCCUACUUAUAGAAAUAUAAGAAUGUGGGGCCCCUCUUCAUCGAAGGACUGAUCUUGUGCGUGAGGUAAUUGCAAGCGUUUUGAUCGUGUUUAGAAUAUGGAAUAAGUGAAUAGGUACCAAGGAUAGAAAUAACUAUUUUCAGGUUUUAUGUGAUAGGAACACAGUUAUGUGCUUAUGAUCCAGUUAAAUCAUAUCCUUUUCUUGCCUUUAUCAUUUUAGUAAACUUCUAACUAGUGACAGAAGGAAAGGAAGAAUUGUUUCCCUAUCUAAUUUGAUUGAGGAAUUGAUGCUUUGGGUACAUUGAGCAAAGUGUUUGUAGGAUUUUCAGUUUUUCUUAAUAGAUUAUUACAUUUGGCAGUUGUUGAUAAACUAAACUAGUAAUGAUCUAUACUGGAUAAAAAAUCGUUAUUGUCUUGUGGCUUGUAAUCAUGCAUGCUUCAGUGAGCUCAUAUCACAAAGUUUCACCGCCAAGACAAUGAUCAGACUAACUUCUUUAGUUGGUAUUUUUGUAUUUGUUUUCCUGUACAGUCAAUCUUGCAGCAAAUGGUGCUUGAGAUUUCUGACUUUCUCAGGAGAACUGGGGAUUAAGUUGUACAGUCUGGUAUCCACUGGUCCUGCAUGAUCAUAUAAUGAUGUAAAAUUGUAUGUCCCUUCUAGGCAGCCUUUUUUGUAACUAUUUGGUAAUCAAGUGGAGUAUUUAGAAAACGGUCAACAUAAAAAACAAUAAGCCAUCCUGUCCAUGGUAAGUGAUAGCUUCAUGUAUGCAACACUGAUUCUUUCCAUGCAACAUUUUCUAAGCAGCUAAGUUCCUGAGCCUUGCCAACCUAUUAUGGUUGCCAAAUGUGGCAACUUCUGUUCUGAAGGAAAUUGAAACUUCUAAGACUGAUGCAUAGCUGAGCAUCUGUCACAUUUCUGUUUCUGCUUCUCCUGCUCCUUCUGUAUAUUGUAUUGAUUUUAUCUUAUCUUUGUGCAUUUUGAGAUGUUAGGCAUUGUGGAGGUAGUAAAUAGAGGAGUGUCGAACAACACGCAACUGAUUUAAAGGUGGAGUUAAAGUGGAAAUUGAUCAAAUUCUUGGUCAAUUAUGAUUGCUGAGAUGUAGAUAAGGCUCUUGAAAGUAGGAACAUCUGCUGUCAAUUUCCUGAUGAAGCAUUCUUCAGUACAGCUAUUUGAUUCCGCAUUCUUUUUAAGUGACUUGGGUUUGUUUGUAUUUCCAGAGCUAUAAAUGACAAUUCCAGCAUAUACUAGACGAGAGUACUCCUGGUCAAAGGUUUUAGAAAAGCUAAUAAACAUAGAAUCCUUCUUUCUAGGCAUAAAAAAUUGAUGAGGUGCAUUAAAAGAUAAUUGGUAUUUAAAUUCUUAGCUUUGCUAGGUUUCAACGCAUGAAGUAAGCUGCCUCUUAAAGGCGGUGAUGUGUUUGAACAGGAUAACUUCUGAACCUGGAUUGUCUUGAGUUCUAGUGCACCUUGGUUUCUUUGGCUGGAUUUAUAAUAAUUUGAAGCAAAAUAUAUUGUCUGCACAGAUGUGUUAGCAGGAAAGGUUCAUUUGCAUUUGCAUUUUUCAAUUUGACUGAUUGUUGGUAAUGAUAUUUGUAGAAUGUACUCUAUGCCUAACCACUGCUUAGUGCUUUUGCUCUUCUGUUUGUAAUCGUUGAGACUUUUUAUACUGAUAACUAUGGUGCUUUAAAUAAAGAGUUGGAUGAUAGUGGACAUGCUUUGAGUUGUUGUUUUUUUAAUGUUCUUGGCUGAAAUCUAAUGAAUUUUCAUUGUCUGUUGUGAAGGGGGAUGAGGCCUCAUUGCAGAGGGCACUGAACAUGAUUCAUGGUAAUAAACAUGAUUAUGUUAUUCUGCUCUUCUAUGCAUCUUGGUGUCCUUUCUCUGGAACUUUUAGACCAACCUUUUCCAUCCUAGCUUCCUUGUUUCCCUCGCUUCCUCAUUUUGCAAUUGAAGAAUCAGCUGUCAAGCCGAGGUUUGAGCACUUUUGAGUUUUGUCUUCUGAAUCCAUGCUUUUUUAUGUUGGAAAUUGAGGGUUCAUAAUAUGGUUGAAUUUUUUGCAGCACUCUAUCGAAGUAUGGAGUACAUGGGUUCCCAACGAUUUUCCUUUUGAAUUCUACUCUGCGUGUUCGGUAUCAUGGUUCUCGAACACGUGAUUCUCUCAUCACUUUUUAUGAAGAUGUGACUGGUAAGGCUUUAAAUAUUGUGCUAUUUGAUUAGAUGAAAUACUUUGGCGGGGUACUUUCUUGAAUUGUACAUUUUUACUGAAUGUUUUAAAAGGUGGAGGUGGUGUGGGAGAUGUUUUAUCUCUAAGGUGGCUUAAAUUCCUGGAUGUGAGGAGCAGCGAUGGAUGCUUAGUAAUUGAAAGAUACUGGAACUUGUACAUAUCUCAAAAACUAUUAGCUAAUUUGACAACAUAGUUAACAAGUGGAAAAGGAAAUUUUGUAAAGGCAAUAUUUAUGAGACUUCAGACAUGGGAAAUAGUUGCAUUCUAUAUUAUGGAAUUGUGUUCUAAUUUAAACCUACGAUAAAAGUGCCCUAAAAUUCCUUCUUUGAGAAAGAGAGUCAAUCUGUAUGUAUGUUACUAUUCCCACAUCCAACUUCAAGUGGCUUAGUAGUUACUAAAAGUAAAUGGUUUGACUGCUAAUGUUGAAACUAGUGGAUUUGCAUGAAGAGAUUUGGUCUCUCCACUUACUUUCUAACUGCCCUAGUGCUGUUAGCGCCACUGCCUUCUUCCACCAUUUCCGGUGAUUGUGGUUGUUUUUUUUCCUUCAAUUGGGAGCUUCAAAACUUGCCAAUACCUGGACUGAUCAUUACGUGUUUGUGUCUUUCAAAGCUUUAAACCUGUUGGUGUGAAGGUUAGUGGUGUUGCUCUUGAGAAUAUCUGGUAUAUCCACUUGAGGAUGUCUAAGCAAAUUUUUGCUUUCCACACAGGCCGCCCCUAUUCUACCCUUUCCCCAUCUCAAGAAGAGUUGAAGUAAAAUGAAACUGAAAAGGAAAAGCUAUAAAAAGUACAAGAUGGGGCUAACAGUAUAGAGCACUUGCUCUAGGUCUAGGUAGACCUGUAUUGGGCAGAGGGGCGGCUUGAGCCCUAAGUCUCAUGGUUAUAGUAGAUGGUGAAUGGGUGAGUUUAUGACUUCCUUGAAUGAUUUUAGGAAUAAAUUAGCUUAACAUGUAGCUACUUUUCUGGUACAGGCAUCAAGACAGCAUCAUUGAGCGGAUUAUCUCUGGAGAAGAUUGAAUGCUCAUCAGAUCAUCAAAAACACAACAGCAGUGAUCCGGAAAGUUGCCCAUUCCCAUGGGCAAGAUCUCCGGAGAAUUUGCUUCGGCAGGAGACUUAUUUGGCCUUGGCCACUGCAUUUGUGCUUAUGAGGCUGCUCUAUGUCUUUUUCCCAGCCCUGCAUAGAUCCGGCCAGUUAGCCUGGAGAAGGUAUAUUUCAAACACGAGGUUAAGGAAUCUGUGGGAGCAUCCGCUGGUGUGCCUCAACCGAGCAAAACAGUUGUUAAAUUCCUUAAAGGAGCCAUGCAAGAAAAGCAAUUUGCAGGAAGGAGCUAUGAAUGCCAAGGCCUGGGCUUCCAAGUCUUUGGCUUCUGUUUCAUUUGGAGAUAGUAGCACUAGCAGGGUUGUACCAGUGAGUUGAAUUGACGGAAUAUUAGUUUGAUAGCAGGUGUUAAAGAGUAUAUAAGGACGGGUUUGCUGGAGUUCGCAAGAGUACUUCUCUUUUAGAAUCAUUUUAGCUGACUUUGUUGAGUUUCCGCCAUGGGGCUUUGUAUUGUCUAAUAGGAAGGAAAGAAAAGGUUUCAUAUUUGACCAAGGAAGCGACCUGCUUCAUUUCAGUGUAUUGUAGAUUAGAAUUUCUUUUCACCAACUAAGGACAUAAUAAGACAAGCGUUAAAUGUAUGUAUAGCUUCAAAUGAUCAGCCUCUUCUUUUGAACUUAACAAACCUCUCUUCUUCAUCAAAGUAGUAGUUCCCCAUUCUUCACAUCCUCUGUCGUCGUUCUGAACUUCUGUUUUGUCUGAGGUAGUUCCAUUUUUUCUUAUAGCCUGUUUUUCUUUGUCGCUGAAAAGAUGAGAAGGGUUAUCAGCCUUCGGAAGAAGUCGAUGAUGCAACUCUGAAUGAUUCCCAUAAGCAGACUAAUCUUAGUAAUAACUAAAAAGUGUGGUAUAAUUGAAAGUCUUAUCUGCCACCGCCACCAUUUGCGAGUUGCAAGUGGGAUGCAUGCAUGGUUGGGGGAGACAAGAGGCAGAGGGAAGAUCAUUGUUGGGACCGAACACUAAAAGCAGCUUAUUGAUAUAUUAUGGAGACUGGACCAACACUGCUGCUGCUGCUAAGGGUGGACCUAUCUUCUUGUUCAAGCGAUCCUUUACGGGAAUCUUGGGUGGGGCGGCAUGGUGGCGCUGCUGCUUCUUGAUAGCAAUGUCCUGGCCUGGGAGUGGCGGAUUUGCUUGCUUUCUUUAAGAAAAUGAAAUAAUCAUCGAAACGAUGUAAGAAAGUACACUGCUGCUGAAGUUGUUUCAUACAGAUGGGCAUUGGGUAGUCAGAGAUUAACAAGGUGCGUUCAAGGAAAAAUUCUAUGGUCCAUUGAGAACCAUUCUCUCAAUUUCCAUCCCUUAGUGUUGGUGGUAAGUCAAAUUUUAAAUAAUUAAAAGUGUUACAAUCUAAGGUCCAAACACUUAUUUCAUCAUCAAAUCAGACUGUAUAAUCUAUUUUUGUUGCCUAAUUCUUUUACUCAGGUUUUGUCUCAACUAAAACACUGCACUAAAUCGAUCCAAUUUGGCUGAUAUUUCCUCGUAUGGUCCACCUUUUUGUUGGAAUAGACAAGAGAUAAUUGGAGCAAAUAUAGGACAUAAACACUUUUUUUUUUUUUUUUUUUUUUACAUACAUCACAUUGUAAGAGAUGUUACAUUAAUUAUUUUAAAUAAUCUCCUACCCAAACACACUCCGUGUUUCCAUUCUUCUCUUUUUUGCUUUUUCCUUUUUGCCCCUUACGUUUUUGUUGGAAAUGAUUUUUUUUUUUUAAGUGUAAGUGAGAGUUAUCGAACUUGGAACCUAUCACUUACAUUCUCUCCUCCGUACCACCUAAUCCAUUUCUCUACCUUGUUGACAUUGACUUUGAAUUUUGUAAUUAUAGUAAAUCUUUUCUUUAACUUUUUUUUUCAAAAAAAUUAAAAAUUGAAGGUAGCUUUCUUUGCCGUUUAUUAAGCUUAGCGUGCAUGAUACAUCAUACAUACAAAUAAGCUAAGGUAAUGUGAUUAUUCAUUGAUGUGUGUUGUUAGUGAGCACACAAAAUUUACUAGAGAAAAUAAAUAUAUGCAUGAUUGAUCAACAUACAGUUUUGGUAUAGAUCGUCAAUGCUCACACAAAAUUAUUUAACUUUAGCUACUUUAUCUUCAAAACUAUCUGUUCAACGCAACUGAGUUUGUUAACUCAAAUAAAAAAAACAUCUUCAGUUUUUAAAAUUAUUUAUCACUUUUAACUCUCAUAAACUAUAAAAAAUAAUAAUGUUCCGUUUAUUUUUUUUAAAGUUAUUAUUUAUGCACUUUAUAGUAAAAUCAACUUAGCAUGUUGAAAGAUUUUAGAUGAAAGUACCUGCCUCUCUUGUAUAAUUAAUAUAUCAAAAAUUUAGAUUCCUUUUUUUGAACAAAAAAAAAAGUCAAAAUGUCUGUUCUUUCUUCCCCUUUUUCCAUUAAUACGGCAAAAAACAGAGAGAGAUCAAAAUGAAUUUGUGCACCAUCUUAUGGCGUGGCUAAAGAUUUCUCAACCCUGGAAAAUUGCUACAGCCACAAUCGGAAUGAGCCUUGAUCUUUGUUUAGGUUUAUAGGAAAGGAUCCAAAAGAAAAAACCUCUUCUCCAAACUCCAAAGUAAGAGCUGGAGAAGGAACAAGAACAGCCGCCGCUGCUACGUGACCUCGAUGACUAAAAUGGAAGGCUCGACACGACAGUGAAGGGUUCAAAUGGACAUAUCAGCAAAAUAAUUUAAGGGAAGCUUUUACUAGUUUUGUUUGGAUUGUAAGUUAUUUGGGAUAUUUUUACUGUAGUAUUUUUUGUGACGUGAUAUAUGUGAGAUAAAAAGGUAAUUGGGAAGAUAAAAAGGUGUAUUGAAAAUUGUAAUGAUGAUGUAAGCAAAUAAAAUUGGAGAAAUAAUGCUCUAUUCCAUUAGUAUUCUGUGUUCCCCACCAAUCAAUCAUGAAAUCCCAAAUUCAACCUCAUCUCGGGCUCCUUGUGUACACCCGUUAUCCAUAUACACGUGAAUUCAUCGUCCCAUGUUUUUGGGGUAUUUUUUAAAAAUUAAUUUUUUAAAUAUAAUAAAAUUUUUAAAAAACAUUUUAAAAGAUAAUUUAAAAAUUAAUUUAAAUUUUUUUAAAAUUUUGAAGAAUAUCUCAAAAUAUAUUCUGAAAUCUUUUUUACUUUUAAAAAUUUUAAAAUACUUUUUAAAAAUAUUUUAAAAUAUAUUCUAAAAACUCUGCUACAAUAAAAUUUAUUUUUAUAUAUGUUUUUUAUUUCAUAUUCGAACAUUUUCUUUACUUAUUUAUUUGUGACUAAAUUGUAAAAAAAAAAAAAAACAUAUAGAGCAAGCGGAAAAAAUGAACCUGAUCUAACAAAGGAUAUGACAGCGGUCUGUAAUUGUAGUCAAUUCCGGUCCCCAUGUGACCGACAUGUGACAGCCCCUCCACUCCAACCAGCAGUAAAACAUCAUCGUCCUCCGCAAACUAAAUCCAACGGCCAGUUUUCUCCUUAGAUUCCAACACCUGUGGUCCAGAUUCCACCAUAGAAGCUUCGGAGGUUCACACACCGCAAUACAAAGAGUUUUAACCGUCCAUCGUACCCACUAAUCCCCCACCAACACCUGCAACAACAACAAAAGAUAGCUAUCAUUUCCAAUGGGCCCACCUGCCCCGCGCCUCAAAAACUGUAAACAAAUCUUUUGUUUUUUUGCCCCUUUUCUUCUGUCUUUGAUUUUUUGGGUCCUAAAAGGGAAGGGGAUAUAAUCAAUAAUCAUUGUUGUUGUUUGUCAUAACUCAUCAGGAGGAAGAUUGCCGAGAGGAGGGACUGAAGGGAGAGUGAUGGAGAAGGAAAGGGAGAAGCAAGUUUACUUGGCUAGGCUUGCUGAGCAAGCAGAAAGAUAUGAUGGUAUUAAUUCUUUCUUUGAAAUUUUUUUUUGCCUACUACCUUUUUUUUCAAUUUCUUUUUGUGUAAAUCUUUUCUUUUGGGAAGUAGAGAUUGAAGAUAGAAGGUGGGUUUUGGUUAGAUUGUGGUGUUGUAUGGCAAAAUCCCGAGCUUUAUGGAUUUUGGUGCUGAAAUUUUAGUACUGUUUGGAUGAAGGAAUUCAUCAGAAUUUAUAGAUGAUAUGGACUUUUAGUUCAGCUUUUUGUUACCAACAUGCAUUUUUUUUGGGAGGGGGGGGGGGGUCGGGGUGUUGGGAGUGGGGAUUGGAAUGCUGAAUUUGUACUUUUAAUUGGAAAAAAAUUGAAUGUUUUACAUAUAUGAAUUUGGAGGACUAAAGGAAGUGCUAAACUUGUUGAACAAAAAAAGAAAAACUUUGUUGGCAAAACACAUUUUUUACGUUGAUUUCCAGUAUAUUUUUCCAUGCUGUGGCUAGCGAAAAUAAUCUUGAAGAGAAGUUUGUAAUAAAAUGCUGUGAAUUCUUGUACAAACUCUUAUGAUGUGUUGAUUUUUUUGGUAGCUUGUGAAGCGACAAGAUAUCCAAGUUAGAAAGAUGAGGAUUUGAUUAUUGAUUGAGUGCUUAAACGGACUUAAUUUUGUUGUUGCUUAUUAGAGUUUUUUUGUUGAUCACACAAUGCUUUGGCAUUUAUCUGUUUGUACUCAAUUUUAGUUGGAAAGUUCUAAUAUUGAAUUUUGAAAGAGCAAGAUGUGUUUCCAUUGAGGUGGUUGUGUAGCCAGGACUACAAGUAAGACUAAACUCCACAUUUGAAAUUGGCUUACAUUUACAUGGCGAUCCUUUUGUGGUUACUACUACAAGAUAUAAUCAAGAGAAGUAUGUAAAUGGACAUGUUUCUUUGACUUAUUUGAAUUUAUUAUAGUCGAUAUUAGACUUUGCAGUAGAAAGUUUCAUGGUUGCUUGCGGGAUUCUUUACAUACCUGUGGUUCCCAAUUGGUCUUCAUCUAGUUGGCCCUCAAUAGGGUUCUAGCUCAAAGGGGCUGGAUGUUAUCUAAUUGCUUGAAUCUGACUCCCACAACCCAAAGGCUAUUGGUCCUGUUUUUUUUUUGUUACUCUGAUGGCUUGCAAAUUAAAAGGGCAGUUCUAGUCCAUAGCAAGCACAUCUUGACAAUAUGGUUACCAGUCUCUCUUUAUAACUGCUGCUUAAAGCAUUUUUCUUUUAUUUGGACCCAAAUUGGGGCAGAAUAGGAGCUUCAUGACGUCAUAAAGUUCUCCAUGGCAAAUGAAUUCUGAACUUGAACAAGUUUUGGUUUUGCCAGGUUCUUGCUAGGUUUGUGAGAUCAUGGUAAACUUGACAAUUGUUGUUGGUCUGCGUGAGGGAAAUGAUGUUGAUAUUGAACCUACUACAUCCAAUUCGCCAUUUGAUCCUUGGAGAAAAUAUAACUUAGGUUUCCUCAUCAUCUUUGAUAUGGCCUAACUAAUGAAGAAUAGAACUAACUAAAUCAUACUUGAAACUCAAAGGUUUUGAAGUUAAGAAAUUCAUUACUUGGUUUCUACUUCACUUGGGCAAUCCUAUUGAUCUUUGUUCAUGUUCCAAACAAAAAAAGGUAAAGUAAGAGAGCAGGUAAUAAAGAGAACAAAUACGCAGCAGGUCUGUGCUAAAACAUGAAGACAGUCUCUAAAUUUUCCUUCUCCUUGUACUGUUAUGCUUUGCUUCUUGUUUUUCAGUUUUUGACUGCCUUGUCAAGGCAUGUUCCAGGAUAAGCCUAGCAGUAAAAUUGCUGGACAAUUGUAUCUUUUCAGCUGUAUGAGUGGCUUGUAUCUUAAUAUGCCUUUUAUAUUGUUCUUUAUCAUAUUUCUCUAUGAGCCACACCAUUACCCUGUCAAGUGACAAGAAUUUCAAUUCUCACAGUUCUUAUAUGGUUUCUUUCCCCCUUUUGUUUAGAAUUUGUUCUCAUUAUUCUCUUAUUGUUCCAGAGAUGGUUGAAGCAAUGAAGAAAGUUGCUAAACUGGAUGUCGAGCUGACAGUUGAGGAAAGGAACUUGGUAUCGGUGGGGUAUAAGAAUGUUAUUGGUGCAAGACGGGCAUCCUGGAGGAUAUUAUCUUCCAUUGAACAGAAAGAGGAGGGCAAGGGACAUGACCAGAAUGUGAAAAGGAUAAAGGGUUACAGACAGGGGGUAGAAGAUGAGCUUAUGAAGAUAUGCAAUGAUAUAUUGGCAGUAAUAGAUGAACAUCUUCUUCCAUCUUCCUCUACAGGAGAAUCAACUGUCUUCUACUAUAAGAUGUGAGUUGUUACUUUUUCUGAAGUCUCAUUCCUUUCAAUCUCCUCUUGCCUUCACAUAAUUCCCCCUCCAACAAUGCAGAAGAACACACAUCUUAUAUACCGAACCUUUAUAUCUUUUUGUUUGGGCUUGCCCUGGUGGUGGGAUUUAGUGGGCUGGACAGAAAAAUACUAAAAUUCAGCCUUCUUUUGUAUGCAUUUGCGGUAUGUUUUGGAGGGGUUCAAGUGUGUUAAUCUGGUUUCAUUAUUCUCAAAGGUUCAAUCUCAUUGUCAGGAGCAAUUAAUUACAGUAUGCUGUCUAAGGUCAUUGUGAUUUCUUUAAUUUGACUAUGUCCUUUACAAAUUUCAACCUUGUGCUAGAUUUCUUACUUAAUUUUGUUGUUUAGGAUAGAAGUUGUUUACUCUAGGAGUAGUGGUUCCCUCACUUUUCCAAAAGUCAUCUUAGUUUGAGAGGUGUCUGUUAUCAUCUAGGUGAUGCUUUGGUUUUUAGAAUUUGUCAUUAUUUCCCUCCUGUUUACUAUAUCCUCUAAAAAUGCUUUAGGUUUGUGUACAAACUUGUAACCAAGUAUUAUGAUUUUUUUUAUUGGCUAUCUUCUGUUUACCUUCUUAUAUGACUUUCUUCUCCAGGAAGGGAGAUUAUUACCGUUACUUGGCUGAGUUCAAAGCGGGGGAAAAUCGUAAGGAGGCAGCGGAUCAGUCCCUCAAAGCCUAUGAGGUUUUCUGAAAUUAAAUCUCUUUUCUAGAGUAGAAGUUUUACCUUAUGAAAUCUCUUUGUGUUCAUACUUGGCACGAGUCUCCCAUAUUUUCUGUGUCAUAUAUUUUCCAGAUAUAUAUGGUUUUAAACCUUUUCCAUGUAACAGGCUGCCACUGCUUCUGCAAACUCAGAUCUUCCACCUACUCAUCCAAUUAGACUUGGCCUAGCACUGAAUUUCUCUGUAUUUUACUAUGAGAUCUUGAACUCCCCUGAGAGGUUUGACAACUCUCUUAUCUCUACUUGUCUUUGUGUCUGUGCAUGCACACGUGCAUGCUUGUUUAUGCAUGCAUACAUGUGCAUGUUUGUGUGCAUAUGUUUAUCCGGAAAAAGAACAAAGCAUGCUGAAAGCAAUCAUAUUUUACAUGAAUAGAAGUUCUCACUUGAAGGAUUUGGUUCACCAAGUUUAGCUGAAUCUGAGAAUUGAAUGUUCUACUUUUCAUGCACAGCUUCCCUUUUGAAAGUGGUCUUUUCAGAUUGGAUCAAUUAUUUUACGUUAAACUUGAUGUGCAACAUGUCCAAUAGAUAUUUGCUUGGGUCAACCACCAAAAAAGGAAAUUGAACAGAUGUACUGAAGAAAUGAAGUAAAUGUAAUUGGAAUGAGGCUAGAGUUUUUUGGAAAUGGAUGAUAAUUAUUAUUCCUAAAGAAGGUUGCGAUCUUGACCAUCAAAGAGUACCUAAAGAAACUUCUUUAUUACUCAUUAAAUUUCACAACAUUUUAGGUUGUGCAUGAACCGUUGGCCCAGCAACACUUGCAGUUGUUGAUUUAGUUAUCUCAUAUCACUACAUGUAAAGCUUUAGCUGGUAUAUGCAGUAAAUAACUUGCAUCUCUUUUUGGUUUUCCAAAAUUCAUGCUUAAUGCAAUUGAUCAUUGGACAUGCAAAUAAGCAAAUACACAAUUACAGUGCAGAAUGUCGUUGUCUCAUAGCGAUUUGUCAUGAUUCAGUUUUAAGUUUUCAGCUUCACAAGUUAUUUUCGUCUAUAGCUUAGUGUUACUUUUUGGGAGAUGCACUAGCUAAGUCGCCCUCAUUAGUCUGGCAGUUAUAUCUUCUUGGUUGUUUGUAAGAUUGUAAAGCAUGAUCUAUCUUCCACCAGGGCUUGCCACCUUGCAAAACAAGCAUUUGAUGAAGCUAUUGCAGAACUGGAUAGCCUCAAUGAAGAGUCCUAUAAAGACAGCACCCUAAUCAUGCAGCUUCUUAGGGAUAAUCUAACAUUAUGGACCUCAGAUCUUCCAGAAGAGGGAGGUAAGUUGAGGAGGGGAUGGAAUCCUAUUUUCACUUAAUCAAUCUGUUUCCUCUGUGUUUUUGUUUGUUUGUUACUUUGCUUAAAGAAAUGGGAAAAAUACUUACACUGAGAAGGUGUUGGAAGUGGCUUUCUGCUCCAUUUAAUUUAUUAGAACAACAUAGAGGGAAGGAGAACAGUGGCGGAGGAUCUUUUGUUUUAGCUGCACUCCUUUAUACUUGAUGAACCUAUAAUCUUUCCAUCAGCCCAGCUAUUUGAAGUAAUACAUGUAAGUUGGGUUAGAUAUUACCAUAACAACACACUAUGGCUGCUGCUCAUAAUGAUAGGAGUUGGUUUUAAGUUGCUUGAGUAAUGUUGGACUAGGCUUGGAAUAGUAAAAUUGGAAAUUUGCUCAUGGUUCAAUGGCGCACCAGCCCUUACAACUUUUACAAGAAGAAAACUGCAGGUGAAAGGUGGUUGGGAAAAUUAAGAAGUGUGUCUGUGCUCAGAUAUAUAUAGCAAUAAGAUUGUGUGUACUUUUUACCCGAGAGAAAGAGAGAGAGAGAGAGUAUAAACAGUCAAACAUAGUACUGCCCAAUAAUUUGUAAUAAUUGCCAUCUCAAUGAAUUGAAUUCCUGAUGUUGGAGACCUGAAGUAUAUCCUAACUUGUGCUUUUAUUUGGCAGGCGAGCAUUCCAAAGGUGAUGAGCCCCACGGUGAGGUAAGAUGCUCUAGGAAGUGAUUAAUUCGACCCUGAUUUGGAAAGAAUUCAAUGCAAUACGUAAUGUUGUGAUAUGAAUUUCUAAACUGUCACAUCUAAUGGGCACGAUAAUCUGUGGUAUAUGCACAAUUGGCUCGUCGAAGUAGAAUCAUUUCACCAACCGAAGUGUGGUUGAAGCCAAAAUGUCAGCUUUAGCGUAGGCUGUUAUCCUUUUGCAUUUGCCAUGUACUUUAUGCGUUUUCUCUAACCAUCAAUUUCUCUAAUUUUCCAGAGCUAGUUGAUAUAGACGAAUGAUUCUUUGAGGAAGUGAACCUCCUGCCCCCGAGAGCUGCUAUCAUGCGAAAGGUCUUAUGGAUGAAAGAUACCUAGGUUAAUGACGAUUGGCUUGUACGUUGUCCAUUUCCAAACCAUUGUUGUUGCUUCUUGAUGUAGAGAUCAUUGUGGUUGUGAUGUGAUUUUUCUAUUAUCCUCACAGUUUUAGUCCCUAUUUCUCUUGUGCUUCUGAAGCAUAUACUUCUAGGGAAGCAAUGAAUUUCGUGUGAUUUUGCACUCUCUUCCGGUAUAAAACCUGUCUUAGCACUGCCUUUCCUAGGCCAUUUUGGACUGGGUGGUGGCGUUUGGCCUUCCGUAGAAGGCGAAAUGUCUUGGCACUCCCUUCCUUGCUUAGAUUUUAUCUUUAUCUUCAGGUCACAGUAGUUUAUUUUUGUGUGUAAAUAUUUUUGCUUGGAUAAUUUAGGAUGUGUUGUGGUAUCUUUGAAAUGGUAGUAGUUGAUUAGAAGUCACUAACAAAAAUAAAGGAAGAAAUGUCCUGCAUGAAUAUGAUUCAUCUUCCCCGUCUCCCUUCCACUCCACAAGUGGAAUUCGUAAGAUCUGCAGUAGCUUGACUAAAGAGACAACCAUGAAUGGGAUAUUGCUGAAAGAGCUAUCCUAUCAACCAUAGCUGCCAGUUAUUUAUUCUGGGAAACAAAAUGUAGGUAGGAAGUCAAUGGAUUAGAGCAUUUUGCUUGACGUUUCUAGCCUCAAAAAAUAAAUUUGAACGUCAAAUUUGCUUCUUUUACGUUGAAGAGGAAAGAAUACAAUGCACAAACUGCGUUGGUUGUUUCAGCCUAGGAGAAAUUUUUUCAAGUGCUUGCCCAACUGCUUAGAUUUUUCAAAAGCACAUGCAUGCCCUGUUCCUUCCAGGAUUAUCAGCUCAGCAUUCUCUCCCAAGUGUCUGCACAAAUCAUGAUCAUAUAAUUUGUCAUUGCAAAAUUGAGCCAUUCUUUCACUCCUUAAAAACUCAUCAAUAUUCCUAAAUGCACUGCCCAAAAAAAAAAAAAAAAACAAAUGAAUUGCAACAAGCAAGAGGGAAAGGAGAUCAUACCUUUUCAAUCUGCGAGCCAGUUCUACUGGAAAAACCUGAUCUUUAUCUCCCCAUAGGAUCAAAGUUGGCUGCAACAAAAUACCGAGUAGCACUACUGUAUUCACUAACAGCAUGCCAUAACUCUUCUAACUCAUGCAGUCUUUUGAUUUAUGUAUGCUAUCAUGAUAGAUGAACUAGCAAAAUCCCUUUUAAUACAAGUAACUUGAAUUUCGAAUCGCACGUGCAAUUACAACUAUUACGCUGCGCUGUGCUGUGGAGAAAAGAUCAAUCCAAACAGUUAGUAAGUAAUUAUAUGUACCUGAGGGAUCUUUGGAAGGUCUGCAAGUCUCUUAUCUAAGGGGAUAGCGCGGAGCAAAUCCCUCUUCUCCUCCACAAAGUCUAAGCACAUCUCCUGCCCCAUCACAACGCCACCAACAAAUGUUUUUGUUAAAUCAAUAAUGCAUCUUAGAGAAUUCUGAUGCUAAAAGGACAAAUUAUAUAUAGUAUUUCGUCAGUGCUUUCACCACGUGUUUUAUUAUAAUUCUUGUAGGGCUUAAUUUUCCUAGCUGAAAAGAGACAAGAAAGCAGCACCACCCACUCACAUACAACUCACAGCAGAAAGACAAUUGCAUUAUUGAGACAUGACCAUAUGGUCCUGAGGAGACAUCCAGACACAUUAGAAAUAGAAUAGUAGAAGAGAAAUGGGAUCACUUUUUUAUCUCCCCAUAGAAGAGAAGAACAAAAAUUUAGAAAGGCCCUUGUAGUGCUUGAACCAUCCUAUCCUAUCCUAUCCUAUCCUAUAUGUGGAAGUUGGAGCAAUCUCUUACGACUAGAUAGAUAAAACAAUGAAGACAGACAAAUGUAAAUAUAAUAAUAAUAACAACAACAAAUUAGUGGUUGGAUUAUACUACUAUAUAGAUAUUAUUGCCAAACUAAAAAUCUAUCCAAGAGAUAAAUAUAAAUGAUUUUUUCUUUUCCUUUCUUUUUGGUACGGCAAGCAUGACAAAAAUGUAAAAUUACUGACUUGAAGGAAGUCGUUAAUCAAGCAGGAAGGCAGUGGUUUAGGUGGCUUAACAAAAGUAUAACGCAGCAAUUUCCUGAAAGCCUCCGGCGUCUGCGGCAACAGAAUGGAGGCGGCGUCGUCCACGUUAUUCACCGGAAACAUCCCAUCUCUAAUAUCCUUCUCCUCCAAACACACCGGGGAGCAUAUUAUCACCACCUUCUCCACACAAUCUUCAAACUGCAGCGCCAUACUGUACGCCACGAACCCACCGUAACUCAUCCCCACCAGCCUCAUUUUCUCCACCGACUUAGCCUCCAUCACUCGCUUCAGACACUGAGCCUGGAACGCCUCGGACCGGUCCGGCCGGGUCGUGUGUGACUUCCCGAAAAACACCAGGUCCGGCACGUAGACGUUGAAAUGGGGCGUCAGGAUUCUGACGGCCUCGAACCAUUGCCAGACGGCGUCGGCUCCGAAGCCGUGGAUGAGGACUACGUUGGGUUUGGUGGGCUUGGGGGAUUUUGGGACCCAGCAGUGGAUGGUGGUGCCGUCACCGAGGUCGGUGAUGGUUGAUCGGAGACCCGAGCAGCUGAAGGCGGAUCUAAAGCACCCCCCAGCUGAUGCUGUCAAGUUCAAGCACUUGGGCAUCACUAACUUAACUGCUAACCUUUCUUGAAAAUUUUCACACGCACAUGGACAUGUUAGUGUCUGUGUGUGUUCGAGUGUUUUUAAGGGGUAUCAAGCAAAGAUGUUCAUUCGAAGUGGUUAACGACAAGAUAACAGAGGAAGAGAUGUUUGAACUUUGAAGCUGGUUUUAUAGGAUGUUCUUUAACUUUUUGUCUGGCAAUAGAUUUCUGGUGCGCAAGGAAUAAGGAUUGUGUCACUGUGUGGUGAAGUUGGGGACAAAGGUCCAAAGUAAAAGCUGAAGGAAGGCAUAGAGUUUUCAACAAGACUUUUUUUGCAAUUUUUCCACAAGACUGGGGACAGAUGCCCCAUUUAAUUUAAUUGCCAUACAGAACCAACCAAAAUAAUACUACUGUUGAUCUUUAUUGUAUGGGAUAAUUGUAGAAACCUCCUAUGAGGUUUCUGAUAUUAACACUCACCUCCCUUAUGAGGAAAUUAGCGCCUAUUGGAGAAACCUAAUGAACGAAUUUUGCAAAAGAAACCUAUUUCUUGUCAACAAAUUAAGUAACUAAUUAAACUAUUUGUGAGUUCUACUAUGUUGUAAAACAAAAAUAUAACUUUUUGAGAUUGUUUUCACUCCUAGAAAUCUUCAAUAUUGCCUUUCGAUUGCAGCUGCAAUAUUUGUUCUUAAUUGUGAAAGAUGUUGAGGAGUUCCAUGAUCCUCUCCUAUGGCUUGAAGAAGCCAUUCUCUUUGUUGCAACACUUCAUUUCAAGCUGUGAAACUAAAGUCAAUGAGAGUAGCUAUGUUACCUCUACAAACAGUCACACAUAUUGCUAAUAGAGAAUUUUAUGUAUCAAGUUUAUCCUUUAUCAACUGUUGCAAUAACCUUCAAAUCUAGCCGUUUUAAACUAGCUAUUACUUAGUUCAUGAUGCUUAAGCUAUUUUAUGUGAACGAAAAGGGUUUGCACUUAUACCCCUUAAAGUUUAUUAAUUGUUAAUUUUUUUGUGAUAUUUUGCAUUCCUUUACUAAUAUUACUCGGUAUGCAGCACAAAGGGCAAAUCUGGUAUAAAUUUCUCAUUUCAUUUCUUAAAAUAAAAUAUUUUAAUGGCAUUUUUUUUAGCUUGGACUGAAUUAGUAAGUGAGUGCUAAUGUCAAUACUCGGCAUGCAACAGAAUCAGUAAGUUCAAAGGAGGUCAAUACUAUUUCUUAAAUUACAGAUGAGGUAAGUUCUAGUGUCAGAAAUCUCAAAAAAAGUUUUUGCAAUUUUUCCUUAAUGUAUAGAUUGACAGAGUAUACGGAUGUAUGAUGUAUUAUCAUAUAAGUAAAAUUGAAAUUUAAAAUUUAAAAUUUGUACAUGUAUUAUAUAUGUAAAAAUAACACUAUAUACACUGAUAAUAUAUAUAUAUAUAUAUAUAUAUAUCGAGUUAGGUAAAAAAUUACAUCAAUAACACAUAGUACACCUUUGAGGAUGCUCACCUCGGCCACCGUCAAGGCCGAGGUCCUCCUACUUCGUUUGUCAUACAGACCGAGAUGAUGUCCCUUAGACGUGACCCCUGGGUCCGACCAGAUCUCUGGUCUAUGGCAUGGACGACCUCUGCACCUUAGGCCUUCCACCUCGGCUGCACGCUAAUGAUGUUAACCUACCUGACACAAUACAGAACGAGUGCUUUAUCUGAAAAGCACCUGAUGCUCUUAAAUGACUACUGUACGGGCCCUGGUAUGGGACAGAGCCGUAAUGGCCAGGACGUGGUCCCGCUAACAUAUGUCCACCGUCCUGUUUUCCAUUCCUACCCUAUAAAUACCCCCUAUUCACUCCAAACAAGUAAGCACACUAUUGCCUUCUUACUGUUCAUUACUUUUCAUUCCCUCGCUAUAUACUGACUUAAUUAUCGGAGUGAUACCAGAGGAGAAGCUCCGCCAUUCACUUCGAGCAAGCGAAUUCAUCGCACCUCACUUGAGAGAAGACUGAUUCAGGUCGUUUCAGUAACCUACCAGAAAUCACCUCUUCAACCUUCUUGGUUGCUCCAUUCGCAAUCGUAAAAUACUAGAUGGAGACACAAUAUCAGUUGUCUUGUGACCUUGGAAAAAUGGGGGAAAAAAAAAGAGUCUCAUUCCUUACUUUUGCAACCUCAUCCUCAUGCAUGAAAUCUCAAAUUUUAGUGGCUGAACUUCAAAAUUUAGCUCAUAUGGCAUGUAUUUAGAUCCGAAUGUAUGCAUGUAAUUAAUACCUAAAUAAGUCAUUUCGAGGAAUAUUUAUAUCUGUUAAUCUCGAUUGUAGACACGAUAUUGAAACUCGUAUUUUUUUAACUGAUCUUGUCCAUCAAAUGAUCAAUAAUAUCUUUAGUGAUUGUUCAUGUCCCAAGUCCCCCAACUCAAAUCAUGACGUGGAUGAUGCAAAGCAUGAAAGUCCAUGACACAAUAUCUACAAGUUAAAAAUUAAUUACGCAAUGUUGGAACAAAAGGCAAAUGAAAGGGAAAAACGAAAUCUUUAUUCAAGAGUGUUGUACAGAACAUAAAACUGAUAAAGAGCAUUUACUUCUAGUCACGCUAGUAAGUUGAAAUGCAUGUAUUUCUUUUUUCUCGUAGCUUGCAUUUUAAAAAUCUAGACUUUUCUGUAAAUUUCGUCAGUGGUGCGUAGCGCGCUCGUCUAGAUCGAUAGUGAUUCAAUUCUCUUCGAAUUUUCCUUGGACCUUUUUAAAAUCCCCUUCCCUGAUAAAGAGUACGAGUGGUCUAGAGUAGAGUUUAUCGUGUCCGGAGGAAAAAAAAAGAGUAAUUGUCAUGGAAAGGGAAGGAGAACAGUUGCAUACUUGUUUCUUGGAAUUAAUUGUGCAAAAAUUGAUGAAUGACCGGAGGAGAAAAUAGAUACUACUUGGGAAUUGUAACCUGUGGUGGUUUUUUGGUUGAAGGAUGAAGCCUGAUGGAUACGUUUUCCGAAUGUGUAAACUCCAAAUUAGAAAGUUAGAAAAUAUAGAGAACUCGUAUACAACAGCACAACUGAACAGGUAGGUUUACAAAUAAAAUUCUUAUUUUACCAGUCAAAGAAAAGAAAGUUAACAAAUACAAAUUGAGUUCCGUAAUCAUUAUUCUUUAGUUUUGAAACUUUUUUUUUCCCUGUUUUUCUUGGCUGAAGUGGACUUCUCAUUUUUUUUCCUGGCAUCACAAAUAGAUAUAGACCUCCACAAUCAAAUCCUUGGAAACUAUUAUUCCUUUUUUCCCAUGGCUGAAGUUAAAUAGUUUUUUUUUCUCUAGCAACACGAACCAAAGAAAAGGUAACUUUGAUAAUAUAUAUACUUAUAAAUUUUGGGUUCUUUCUCACUAAAUUAUUGAACUAUCCUACAUUGCAUCUUUAAUUUAGAAACGUAUUUUAUGUGUGGCUUAAUUAUUGUCAAACACCAUCGCACCACUUUAGUGUAAAAAUUUCCACAUGGACUAGCGAUCGACUUCAAAGUUGCUGAUUAAAAGUAGCGACAUUGAAGUCACUACUUAGAUAUGCAAAAUCUCUUCUUUUGAAUGACCCCAACGUGUUGGACUAGCUUUGGAAGGAUUAUGUAUAAAAUAAAAAAAAGAAUUGUUUUGAUAAUCACCCUAGCAUAAAGGAAGGAUGUAUUCCCAGGCCAAAGAAAUAAGUGUUGUAAAUAAAAGAAUAUUUUAAAAGAUCUUGUCCCACGUUGGAAAAUCAAAGUGACUUCUCAUCACUUUAUAAUGUUUAGUCUUUUAUUAGGUUUAUAUUAGAUUGGUAACUAGUGUGGAUUCAUGCGCAUGAGAGGGAAGUUAAGUUGGGCCGUUUCAAUACAAACCAACGGAUUUGCACCCCUGCGCAUGGGUUAAACACGGUUACUGCAAGCAAAAAGUAAAAUUUACUUUUCUUUUAAGUUUUAUAAAUCAGGAUAAAGUUUGACUCUUUCCACCAAGAAAAUAAGUUCUUAUCUCAUCAGUUACAAAAGUUAAGCAUAUUCACAAUAAGCACGUUUCUUUUGUGUUAUCGGAAUUUAUCUCUUAUCCUUCUAAUCCUUCUUGUUUAUAAUAAGAAAAACGCUUAUUUAAUGUUGGGGAAACAUUUCAACCUCUUGAAAUAGUUUCUUCGGAUAUUGCUAUUAAGCACAACUCAAAAUUUUUGGCUACUUUUCCUACAAUAAGUACUACAUAAACAACCUUAAUUUGUCAUUUUCAGUUUAGAUAUUAUUGAGAGGUUAAUAGCACCAAUUACCUUUACAAAUUGGAUAUAAGAAGGAAUCUUUACCAAUGUUUUGAAAAUCGGACAGGACCGCCCGGUUCGACCGAUUGAAUUGCGAACCGGCCAUGGCACCGGUCCCGGUUCUAUGCUUUGGUUGACUUUGUCAGAGAACCGGUCAAAAUCGUGAAAACCGGUGAACCGUGUUGAAUCGGAUUGAACUAGUUUUUGAGUUUCCCUUUUUUUUUAUAACUUAUUUAUAUAAAACAAACAUCUAUAUUUCAUUUUUCCAUUUUUCUUACAAAAUCUCAUCCUCUCAUGACUCUUUCUUUUUAAUCUUCAACUCUUUCUCUCUCUCUCAUCUUUUCUUUUGUCACUCCAUUUUUAAUCAAACCUCUUUAGUUUUAAUUUAUUGAUGUUUUCUUCUAUCUUUUAAUUUUGUUUUUGCCCAUUAAAUUGGAAAAAGUUAAAAAAGAAUUAUUUUUCUUUAACCCAAAUUAUUUAAUGCCACAACCACUCACUUUUCUCUCAUUUUUUUGUUUCUUAUCAAGUUUGCAUUUCUAUUUUCAAUUCUCUUAAUUUCUUUCAAACUCCAAACUUUCCUUUUUAAAUUACAAUCUUUAAAUCUCAAAGACAUAAAUUAAAAUUUAAGUUCACAAUGUCAAAUUCUCAUAGACGUGAAUUUUGUAUAAUUUCAAAAUAUUGUGAUAUUUUUGGGUUGGAUUUAAGAUUUUUUUGAUAGAUAUAAUUAAAAUUGAGAUGAAAUUUAUUUGUUUUAACUUAUAAUUUAAAAUUUUUAUUUUUGAAAAUCCAAUUAUUCAAAAAUAGUGAACUUUUCAUCAUAUAAAGUUUUAAAUUCGUCUAUUGCAUGUCUUAUUUUGUGCAUAUAUAUAUUUAUAUAAAUUAUUUUUAAAAAAAUUCAUUGAACCGAGGUUGAACCGGUCCGAUCGGUUGAACCUCGACCCUUUCACCUCACCGGUUCAUUUGACGGUCCGGAUUUUUAAACAUUGCUUUACAUUGUAUAGAUCUAUGUGUACAGAUUCUUCUGUUUCUACACAUGCUGGUCUUGGUGUGGCAUGGUAAUCCAUAGUGCGAGAGAUAUAAUUUGACACCAUGAUCACACCUUUUAUUAAGUGAUCAACUUUGUCAACAAAACUUUAAGACUCGAAAACCAUGCAAGGAAUGUGAUUGACAUUGACCCCCUUUUAUCUUGUGUGGCAAUUCUACUAUCUUCUGUACUAUGAUGCAUUGAGUCAAUUAGCAUGCAACUCCAAAUCGAUUUAGCAAAAAAAAAAAUUAAAAUUUUUUUUUGAUGAAUUUUCAAGCUAAUUUUUUUUUGUAACAUCAGUCAUUAAAGUUGAGGAGAUUAAAAAAGAAUUUUCUAAGGACGUGUCUUCGAGGAUACAAUUUCAAGUAAAUCUAAAUUAAGCGUUGAUUUCCAAAUUGGGUCAAAAGAGGUAGAUAUGGGUUUCAUUCUCUCUUUUUCUCUUUUUUAUGUUUAAAUAUCUUUAUUCUUCCUUUAAAAAUGUACUAUAAAACCAACGUCAUAGAAUUUUUCGCAUUCGGCCCAACACAGCACUGGAUAAUAUGUAUUAAUGGUGAAAAAUCAGCCAGGAUUAAUCCUUCUGCAAGCUUCAGAUAUGGGCGAGUUAAGGUUGUUCCAAUAUCGAAUGUAACAUCCCACACUUAGGCCACUGGUUUGACUACCCAAGAAGGGAUCAUGAAAGACGAUUUCUUGACAUAACAAACGUUGAAAGAGGAUUUCUUGACAUAACAAACAUUCAAUAAAUGAAAUUCAUAUUACUAGGAUAAUUAUAGUUACACAAUGGGUUUGGGGCAAUAUGCAGCCAAGUUUGACCAGUUUGUGGCGACUAAGUACCAUCAAGAAUUAGGUAUUUCAAAUAGCUAGAAUUCUGAUAAUUGUUCUCUAUAAUUAAAUUAGCCUAACCCUAUUUUUCUAGAAUUUUUUCUUUCUCAUCAUAUAACCGUACUAAUUAAGACUCAUAAAAUUAAACCUUGAGUUGAAAUUCGGAAUUUGUUUUUCAGAGGGAAAGUCAACUUUUUAUCCAUUAAGAAUUUGGCCGUGAAACUAUUUUUAUUGAAUUCAAAUAGGGGUACUUUCUUAUUUAUGUGUAAUAUAUUGAGUAUAACAUUUAUUUAGAUGAUAUUACAUGAAAAUAAGUCCUAAAUGCUGAUGAUCUAAAUUACUUGUGUCCUGAACACAGUUUACUUAAACCUGAAUACACUACAGUGAAAUGUGUCAAGGUAGUGUUGUGAUGCUACAGUGACAUGUAUCAUUUAAACUAACACGUGUUGCAAUUUCAUUUCCUCUCUUGUUGACUCAUCACCAUCUUAUCUUCCUAUAAAUAGCCCCUCUUCAUUUACACGUAGAAAAUUAAAAAUUCUUACCUAUACUUCUAAGAGGGCAACAAAAAAUGAGCUAAAGAGGAGAAAAAAAAAGAGCAAAGAUUUUCGUAAAAGAUAGGAAAAGAAUGCCAUAGUAAAGAGAUAGUGUUAGAAAAAGAUUAACCCUAUACAACACCACGAAUAUUCAAGUGAGUGUCCAGUCAUGUAGUGAUAAUAUCACAUUCAUAUAGUUAUUACAUGAUAGCCUUCUUAUUAUAUACUAUUAAACGUAUAGUUACAGAUCUGCAUUUACAGCAGUAGUUAUGUUAGGCUCAUGGUAAAAUUAGACAAAGUGAAAUUAAUAACUGCUGCUUUUGAGUAUUUAAAAAUUAUUAUGAUGCAUGUUUUUGCCUCAUAUAAAUGAUAAUUUCUUAUUUAAGAUGAACAUACUUUCCACAUUGCUAUAUUACAUAUGUGAUUAUUUGCUUAUUAGGCAUGGUAUUGCUUUAUGAAUUGGGCGUGUAUUUUAUCGCACUAAAAAUUUUAUUUACUAGUCCAGCUUGUUAUUGUUCUCAUAAAUCUGAAUGUAUAUUUUAUCACAUCGGAAAGUGAUUGAUUGACUUGGCGUGUGAGUACAAUAAAGCAUUUUCCAAUUGUAUACUUUAUUGCACUGAAAAUUGCUCACAACUUAUUUUAUUAAAGAAUUGUAUUGUGAUUACUUGUGCUUGAUUACUAGUACUGUGCCUUGUUUGAAAGUCAAGUUUUUUUGCCAAGUUUGUCUGCUACAAGUUGUUUAAAAACUUUAGCUAUAGUAAUCUCAAAAAAUUUUUCAAAAUUUGUAAACUAUACACUUCAAAAUAUUCAAAAAAAAAAAACACACUUCAAAAAUUUUUUAAAAAAUUUCUACAGUAUACUAUAGUAAAAUUUUAGAGAAACACAAAAAAAAACUCACCUUUCAAACGGGGUGCUUUAUCACACUGAUACUAGUGUUAUGCUAGUAAUAGUGUGUCUUAAUUCGUAGAGCAAGUAAAAGGUUAUGUCAAAUAUUAUUUCACAUACUGAUCUGCAACCAACAACUUAGGCAAGAAGUUGUCCAUUCAUGGGUCGAGAGUGAAAGGCAUUUCCAGAAUUGACCUAAGUAAUUAUUGAAAUAGGAUGAUGAACUCAUGAUGAUUGUGUAAAGUGGAAUUGGGUCGUCACCCACAAUCAAUGCUAUAUCCUUCCAUUAUGUUGUAAUUUAUCUAUUUUAUGUGUUUCCUAUAUGUUUGAAUUUAUAUUCUUGAAAAUUUAAUCGCAUUUGUACACAUAGACCUCACUUGAAAAUUUAAUUCGUUGAAUUUACACCAAAAUAUGAACAUUUUUUUUUCAGGAUCAAAGUAUUUAGGAUAGACAUGAAGAGAGAUUGUCCUAGUAUAGCAAUGGUAGUUAAGUGCAUUAAAAAUAUACAGAAUCCAGUGAAUUCAUGUAAAACAUAAUUUCUGUUGCAUAAUAAUGUAAUGCCUUCAAGAUAUAUAUUAUAAAUUGUAAAAGUGCCUUUGCAAUAAAUGAAAGUUAUUGUUAAUCUUGAAAUUAGUGAUUGGGUGAAUUCUAGUGCGAGUUAGACCAUCAACGGAGCUUUUGAGGAGGGAGUGGACAAUGUACGUGGCCAAUGUUGCCAUUUUGUGACGUUCAUAUCUCAUCUUGUUGGCUUGAUCUAGUCCACCUCGUUGUUCUUCUACAGGGUAUUUCAUUUAAGCCGACCUAUUCGAAUUAUGCAUGAUGUAAAUCUUCUGCUGAUGAUUUCAGUUUUAAAAAAAAUACACAUUCUUUUAUGUUUAAAUAUCACAGUACAUUAUUUUCUUAUUGUUUUAGCAUAACCUAAGUUAAGGUUACAAAUUAUUUGGAGUUUAUUGUCAAAAUAACUCUUCUUUCGAAACAUAUAUCCAAAGUAACCUAGUUUUAAAAUUUAUUACCUUUAUAAUUCUUUUUUUGUCACAUAGGUUGCAUAUGUGGCAGGAUAGAGAUAGAGUCACAUUCCAUCUCUCUUUCCCAACUAAUAUUUUCCCCGAUCCUCUCCUUGAACCUUUCCACCUUUUUUUUUCGGUUCGUUAUUUUUCAUUCUUUCAUUAUUUUUCCUUGUCAAAUGUAAUUGCCAGAAGCCAAUAUUUAUAUUAAUAACAUCUAAAACUUCAUUGUCAUUCCUAAUAUUAUAUCUGUGGAUGAAAAUAUUCUCCUCAAUUUGAUAAUCUCAAGGUAAACGAAGAUUAUUCUCUUAUCUUUUCCAUUGUGCAAUUUUUGGAACAUUCCUAUGACCUUCAAAAAUUUUGAAUACUAAUUGUUUUAACAAAUGAUUUCUCACACUGUGUGUUUGAUAAAAUGUUAAUAGGAAAACUACGUAACAACAUAUAUUCAUACUCAAUAUGUUUGAUUUCCACCACAUAUAUAAGCAUGUUCAUUUGUAGCGCCUCUCUAUCACAUGAUCAAAUAAUCUCGUAUACUUGAAGUAUUUUUGCACAUUUAUUCAACAUCAAUUAAUGGCUUGUGUUACUUUCAAGAAACUUUAGCAUUAUCUCAAUUACAAUAGUUUGAUUACUUUUUGUAAAAGUUCUUUUCAAGGAGUCAGAGAAGCAUAACAUAAAACAAAUAUGAUAGCGUUGAAGUUUUUGUAACUUUUUCUUGUUAUUGCUUACAAUUUUCAUUGCAACUUUUGUAUUUUGCAAAUUUAUAUUUGAAAAAUAUAUGCAAUAAGUUUGAUGCAUUUAAAAAAAUUACAGAGAGCAAUAAUAGCAAGGUCAAUAAUGGUAGAAUUUAUUUUAAAUAAUUAUAAGGAAAUUAUUAAAGUUAUGCAAUCUUCUUGUGCCUCUAUAAUAAAAAAGUUUAAAUUUUUAGUUUUUGUUGGAAAGUAUAGACUAGAUUAAAGCUUUCCUUUAUUAUUAUACUACAUGGCGAUCAGGCUAAUUAGGUGGCAACAAUAACAUCGAUUUGGGAAUAAAAUUUGAAAGUGAAUCAUAUUGGGAAUAUUUUUUAGAAAGAGUGUUAUUUUGGCAAAAAACUCAAUUGUUUGUACUUCAAAAUAAUACAUACAAAAGAAAUAACUAACUAGAAAAAAUCUAAAAUUACUGUAAUACAUUGGCCGGAUCGAUCAGAUUCUAAUGUUCAAUUCGAGACGACAUCUAAUGUAACUUGUGAUUAUAAAUGCCGUCAAACCUAAAAUCUAGACAGCAUUGACCGAGAGAUUUUGUGGUCAUUGUAUCUUGAAAUAAAUUAUAAACAAAAUGUGUGAUAGGAUUAGAAAAAUCAAAAUAUUUGCUUAUGGAACUUAAAAAAAAAAAGUUUACAAACAUAAUUUUGAGAGGAUGGACAUUAAUUCCACCAAAAAUAGAGCAUGAAGUAGAAGGAAAAUAAAAAGAACAGUGAUACAUGUUGGAGAUAGUGCAACCCUCAACUUGAUAAUUACUUGACACUGUGAGCCUCAGCAGCUUGAUACAGAGAUACCAAUACCCAUAACAAUUCUUUCUAAUGUAAAAAUGGAACUAACAACUACUAAAAAAAAAAGUACCAGAUGCAACUCUCAACUCUUGAAUGAACCUUAGAUGUUGCUUACAUGCUAAAAUUUGUUAAAAAAAAAAAAACAUUUGGACUUCAACACACAAAUGAUGAACUAUUUGGUGAAACUUUCUGUUAAUUGCUUUACCAAAUAAUUUGGAAAUCUUCUGCGUCAUUGCUCCCGCCAUUGAUCCCAAACAUUUUGACCCCUCAAGUUCAAGCCAAGCAUUGUCUUCUUUAGCUUUUUUCUCGAACCGUUGACACCGUUAUCUUUCCCAAUACAGAAAUGACAAGUUCAUUCUUCUUGACCGUAUUGUUUUUUUUGGCAAGUGAAAGAAGAGAGGAUGAUGGUUAGGCAUUUUCGUUGGCCUAAUAUUUCUCUACGAGUGAACAAGGAAAAAGGCUGAAACAGAUAUUUCCUUUCCCGUUAUCCAAUAUCCAUUUUGCAAUCCAAAGAGUCCGAUCCAGCCAUUGUUAAAGCUUCCAAAAACACUGCCAUGUAAAAUCGACAACAUGUAUAGUUGUAUAUUCCUCCUACAUGUCUCUCCUUUGGUGUGUCAAGAAAUGAGGAAUGGAGAAGUAGGCUUUGUGUUUAUUGUAGCAGCAGUAGUUAAAUUUUAGGGAUAAUUUCAGAAACCUCCCUUGAGGUUUUUGACAAUUUCACUCGGCUCCCCUCAGGUUUAAAAAUUACACUUACCUCCCUUGGCAUAGUAAAAUACCUAUAAUGCCCUCCACUUGAUAGACAAUUUUAAAUUUAAGGCAAUAAAUUUAAAAAACUACAAAAAAUCUAUUUUUCUGUCUCUUUUCUAUUUUCGCUUUUCUCUUUUCUAAUUAAUAUAACCUUUUUUUGAUAUCUUCAAUUUUGUAAAUAUUAGCAAAUUGAAAUUACAAAAUCAACAGAGAGAGCAAAUUAUGAAUCAAAUUAGAAGGAAAUAAAGAGACUCGUAGUGAUACAAAAAUAAAUGAUGAAAUUAGAAGAACUAAAGAUGUAGAAUUUGUCAUAUUUUUUUUGUUACCAAGAAAAUCUUUUAUAAAAUGUCAAUAAUUACAUAAGGAAUUUUUUAUUAUGAUUUUAUCAUGGAGGUAGAAUUUAUUCUCUAUUUUUUGAGAUAUUAAUAUUUUUAAAACCAUAGGAGAGUUAUAAUGGCAGUUCUAGGUCGGACUAGCUUGUAUUGAAAAGGUAUUUGAGCAUUGAUAUUUAAUUUGGGGUAUAAUUGGUUGUCAAUGGGGUUGUGUGUGUGUGUGUGUUUUUUUGCUUGGCAAGCAUUAAUACUGUAUAUGCAAUUUAAAAUUUUUUGGAUGGCUAUUUGGUUUUAAAACUUAUGAUUGAAUGAUUGUUAGAGAUUAGAUUUGUUGAUUUAUGCAAAGUGUGAAAGAAAAUGAUUGAGUAUAUUGUAUUUUUCUUUCUUAGUUUUGUACAAAAGGGCAAUUUAAGAUUUUUGUGAGAUCACAAAAAUCUAUCUUGUUUGGCCUACAUUAUUACUAAACAUUAAACUUAGGGGAGGCAUAUGUUAAUUUUUAAAACUUGAAGGAAGCUCUUUGUAAUUGUUAAAAACCUCAAGGGAGGUUCGUGAAAUUAUCCCUAAAUUUUAAACAAAGUUGAAUUUAUCCGCUACAUAAAAAAGGUUUACCCUGUUCAGUCUUUUGUUAAGUUUUCGUUGUGUUCGCUUCGGUCUGUUGUAGGCUUCUGUUUCUGUCAUAAAGUAUGCCCUGUUCAGCCUAUUGGAAUCACGCAGAGGUAAUUCUGCAGAAACUUUUGUCAUGGAACAGAACAGGGGCAAUACAAACUGGGUAGCUCCCUGUUUCACAUCUGCCCCCUCCAUUUGUCAUCAUGGAACAUGCUCACCAGUUGCCAGUCCUCAAUCCCUCCACAAUGUUUUAACAUUUGCUAGGCAAUUGUCAAUUGCUGUUGCCUCCUUCAUGCCUUCCACCUUCUACAUCAGAAAGGGAUAAAAGGAUUCGCACUCAAACUCGCAUUCGAAUUUCGAAUUUAACUUGAUUCUAAGAUGAUCAUUCUUAUCCCAAUUAAAGCGUACAGCUAUAGAGAAGUAUCACUGAUGAGUCAGAAACAGGAACCAGGUGCCAUAUUCCUAAACCCUUUUUUAACUUUCGGAAAAAGAUGCGAUCAUAUUCCAUUGUUCCAACCCCUUAUAAUAAUGCAUGUGUGUGUGUGUGUGUGUGUUUUUUCAAGUUCUUCAUCACCAUAGCCAUAAUCGCUUACUAGUGAUCUUCUCAAGUACAAUAAUCCACCAUUAUUAAUUACUUGAGAAAUAAUAAUAACGAAUUCCCCAUGAUGUUUCAAGAUCCCAAUUUUAACAGCCCAUCAGUGGUACUGGUACUGUACAGAAAAUAAACACACACACACAAGAAGGACUAAGAAAGCCUAAAAGAUAUAAGUAGAAAUAUUCCAAAAAGAGGGAACCCAGAAAAUGAAAGUGUGGACGAAUCUGGGUUUUAUGAAAUACCCCACUUCUUGAAAAGGAUUAAGUGUGUGCCCCCAGAACAAAGCCAUCAAGAAAUCGAUCAUUAGAUCUCAGCCCUUGUAGCCGAAAAAAGAGGCAAUUUUUCACCAAAAUUAAUACUAAUGUCAGAAAAAAACACACACACACAUAAAACCCACAAAGUAAUAAUCAAGACUGCAAGUUUAGAACUGUGUAGCUAAUUAAUCCAGCGAGGAAGAAAAAGCACAGAGCUAUUAGUGUUUCUUCGGAGGAGGAUUCCCAUACCAGCCGGCUGAGAAGUCUUGUGACAACUGUUGUCGAAAACCCUAAUUUAUACUGGCUGGGCUCUCCAAUUUAGGGUUUUUGUUUUUCAAAAAAAAAAUAUAUUUUUUUUGAGCUGUCUUUUUCGGUCAGAACUUUGACCAAAUAACUAAAUAAAAUAAAGAAAAAAAGGAAAAGGAAAUUACAAAGGGGGAUGAAGUAGAGCAACAUGGCAAAUGACUUAUUAUUUGUUUUCUUUUCUUUGACGAAUUAAAGUUUGUUUAUAUGUGAGCAAAAGUUGCAAAUGAAUUAGUAGUAUAUGGUAGUAUGACAUAUAUUUGUUGUGUCUUGGUUCACUGCAAUUUUGGUACGAAACUUUGGCUAAAGAACAAUUAUGAACUGCAAGACCUUUAUAGUGCAGAGUCCUAGGGGCACAAAAGCUAAAACAAAAAAUUUUUUUUGUUUUGAUGGAAUUGUUUCUGGAAAACUAGACAACAAAUUUAUUAUGAAAACUUAUUGUUGCUCAAAGAAGAAAAACAUGGCUAAAAGGACUUUUCAAUGCUAUAUCUAAACAUGUUUCUGAAGUUUUGCUGGUUUGGUUCCAGAAAAGGCCAAGAAAAUAAUUUACAAGGACCACAACCAAUUAAGUUAUGAUGAGUAUCUCAAUAUGCUCCUAACUUUGUUAUCUUUCUGAAGUUGUCAUAACCAAUUUAAUUUAUGAAAUGAAACAAAUUCUGGGUCAAUUUCAAUCACAGCAUCCAAUCCAGGGCUCAGUGUCUGGUUUUGCCAUAAAAGUUUUCCGAAAUGGAUUCUAUCAGUCAUGAAAGAACUUGUGCUUUUUCCAUAAGUGGUUUCAUCGACCAUUAUUCAUGGAUUAGGAUAUAUAAAAAAAAAAAAAAAAAAAUUGAUGUAAUAACCAACAUAAACUACUCUAUUCAAACAAGAAAAUAAAUGAAACAAUUUAGUCAUAAAAAAAUUGAAAAAAAAAAUAUUAAAUUUACAAAAAUCUCCUAAUAACUGUACCUUCUUUUCCUAUAAUCUUUUUGGGUAAUUUUCCUGUCUAUGACUGCCAGAGCUGCCAGUCACUCUGGAGUAAUAGAUCCUAAAUCUAGUUUAUGUGCAUAAAUUGGCUUUGCAUGUAAAAGACAAUUGCUUUCUUUCCCCUAAAUUCUGCAGUGGGCAAGCAACACAUCACAAAAACGCUUAUUUCCUAAAUCUAACAACAACACAAGAAAUAUCAUCUUUACUGUCUCUGUUCAAGGCUUCAGCAGUUAACUGUUCCGCAGCUUUCUGAGGGUCUUUUGUUCUUCUAGCAAUGUCGACUGCUUCUUGAUUGGUCAUUACCUGUGUUUAUGUAGAAGAAGAACAGGAGAUUGGAAAAUGAACCAUUUCUCAGAAAGUUAAAUUUUCGUAUUUGUUAGUUCUACAUAAUGACACACAGAGCAAAAUGAGCUUCAUGAAAGACCGUUCACCUUCCAGAUACCAUCACUUCCAAGGAUAAGAAUGUCGCAGUUGACAUCGACAUUCAUAUCGAGAAUGUCUGGAUCUGAACGCAAAUGUGACUUGAGACUUUUAUCUCCAAAAGCACGAGAAACGGCCAGCUGUCCAUUCACCCUAGGCACGUCUCCUGUGAAAAGAUGCAGAACACAUUUAUAAUACAGAUUAGCUUUGUCCAAAAAAUAGAAAAUUUGAACACAUUUAUAAUACAGAUUAGCUUUGUCCAAAAGAUAGAAAUUUUGAUCGUAUCCACACUAGGCCCAAAUAGGGAAAUAAAGUAAUAUAGCCAUCAAGAAUUGCUGAAUAAAGCAGGAUUGAACAUGGAAGAAUAGAUUUGCUACGACAAAAGUGCUCAAUGUGCUGCUACUUAAAGUAUAUGCAAAUGCUAUAAUUGCGUAUGAAAAUUUCCAAUAUCUGAAUGAAUUUAUGCCUGUGCACUAAGGACUAUAUUAAGUCUACAGAAGGAGGCAGAUGCUUGUAAUUAUACAGCUAGAUUAAGAUGAAAGAUGGGAUGAGAAGUGCACGAUAAGAAGAGGAAAAGAAGAAGUAGGUUAAACGCCUGAUUAUCAUUUGUACGGUAAGGAAGGAAAGGCGGGGAAGUAAAAAGUGCGAGUAUUAACCUUAUUUGCAUCCUUGGUAAGCUCAAACAAAUUUGAGCAAAUAACAAGAACAAAAGGAAUGGCACAGUUAAGAUAAACAUCUCUGCAACCCCAAAUAAGUGUUAAGAGAACUUAGAUCUCACAAAGAAAUGACAGCAUAAGUAUGUUUGAUAUAAUUUGCAUGCAUAUCUGCAGCAUCAGAAUAAUUAGGAAGUAUUUUAGAAUAGAUGGAAAAAGAAACUGAAGCAGAUCUAUGCAUUGAUUGCAAAAAUUAAAGAAACCAGAGAGAAAAUGCUUGUAAUGAAAGAUUCUGAAAAACUUAAAAAACAGUUAGCUUUUAGCAUCUGCCUUACAGAAAAACAAGACUAUUCAGAAGUCGAGAGGAAGAAGAAAAAAGAAAGGGUAAGCCAUACAUAUCAUGGUUAUGACUCCAAUACCAUACUGGAGGCAAGAAUGACACAGGCAAAGCAUUCUUUACACAUGGAGCAAACUGCAAUCUCAAACCAAUUGUAGUUUGAAUGACUGAAAAGGGAAAGUGCCAGCAAAAUCAUCAACAGUUCAGCAGGAACAAGGUCAGAUGUUCCCAACAAUCAAAGCCCCCAUUAAGGGUUGUGGUAGCAAAUUCUGAGAUGUAGCCUAUCAGGCUGAGACAAACAAUACAAAUAUCUUCAGCUAUUAGAACAGCUCUAUGCAUGCAGGCUGUAUAGUAAACAUAGAAAGAAAAGGAAAUUAUCGACAUGAACUAUGUAUCACAUAAAGCCAGCAAUUCUGAUAGAUGCCAGGAUAGAAGGAUUACUAUCUCCAAAAUCACUGGCGUAGUAUAACUCUUAUAUGCUAAGACCAUAUGAGGGGCAGUUUUAAAAAUAUUCCCAACCGUACUACUGUGUGUGUCACCUAGUUCCAAAAUAGAGCUGCACCCCAGGUAAAGUGGUGGAUGCCGCACACAUUUGAAGUAUAUCAUUACCUGAAAAGCAUCAGAUACAUUCACCACAACUUAUAUGGAUAUUCCCAUGGUUUUCCAUUUCUAACAACCUAUAUAAAAGUUCACUAUAACUUGAAAAGAGAGCCACGGAAGGACAAGAGACUUGAGCAGUUCCACAAGUCGGUGACUACAAGAUUGAUGAAGAAAUUCACAUAACAGCUCUUCUGAGUUAGAUUGCUUUAAGCUUAAUUACAUUAUGUUGUCUGUGAGUAAGAUGCUAAAAACUAUAACAAAUAAGUAAGCAAAUAACCUGGCAUGUUUGAGACGAAGCCUCCUUUGUUCUCAAUGCUGCCUCGUUCAGUACUAGGCUCAUGGUCUAUUGUCAUCUGAAUAGCCUGGCCUCCACGAGACAGAAUAGCUCGUGAAUCCCCAACAUUCGCCACCCAUAAUCUUUGACCAUUUAUGAGAAUUGCAGUCACAGCAGUGGACCCACCUCGCCCUAAGUUCGAACUGUUAGACAGAAUUUCCUGGUCAGUUUUCUCAUAGGCUUUUGAGAUUGAUCCGCCAGGAUCUGUCCAGAAUGAGCCCUAACAUAUUUAGAGACCAGAGUAUGAGAUACCAACCCAAAAGUACAACCAUAUAUGUGAACAGCUGCCGGAGUCAACAGCCAACUUACUUCCUUUAAGAUAUUGUCAAACAAAUGUUUUUGCAGGUAUGCAGGAACUGCAUCCCCAAGAUGGCCAUCAAAUAUGGCAAAAAGCCCGAGCUCAUGUCCAUCAAUCCGCACAAACUUAGCAACAUGGUAGUCUUCCAUUGGAUGACUGGCUUUGCCUUUCACUAGGCUGAAACCAUAUUUGAUUUUAUUCUCGCGACUUUUUCCUUUGCCGGAACUACCAGAAGACUCACCCCUGACGCACUGCAGAAGAGAAAAAGAUAAGUCAUACCUGCAGAUGAGUGUAGAAUGACUCAAAAAGGAAAUAAGAUUCGACAAUGAUGAUACAGAACAAGUAAAGUAGAUGAUAAAAGAUCAAACACAAUAAUUAUAACAAAAAAAUAACAAGACAAGUAUUUAAUACGGCCUGCUAACUUUACCAUUCAAAGCAAAUGAAAACCUAAGAAUACCUUCGACUUUGGUUUUAAUUGAAUAUCAUGAUGCAUGAAUGGACCAUAAGGAUGACACAGCAACAAAACCGAGGUGGCUAUAACUAUGAAUACUCGGACUCAAAUUGGAAACUUUGCCUAGCCCUAGUAUAGGUAUCAAAAAUCAACUUCCAUGCAUACAUGAACAAAAAACGACAAAAGCAAUGGUAAUGGCAUUGUGAACACGAGAAUGACAAAAUUUUUUUAGGGGGUUAGGUUAAACUAAAUGGUUGUAUCGAGUCAAAAGUAAGAGGAAACUGAGCAACAAAGCUUUUGGCAAACCUAAUUGAAGCCAUUGAUUACUUUAGCAAAUGGAAACCUGAAUUGUCCUAGUCAUGCCCGCUUUUUCCAUAAUUCAUCAGAGAAAAAUUAUUCAACCUGUUGUCACUAUAAAAUUUACAGUAUUCUGUGAACCACAACGGCUAGUGAUAUACCUACAAUUACAUGCCGGGGAAAGAGCAAUUAGAUCUCUCAGAAGGUGGAUGAAUGCAGGAUGUAUCAGAGUAAAUCUGCAAAUGUACACACACACACACACACACAUAUAUGAUUUUUUUUUUGGAUUUUAUUAUAGAGCCAACCAAUGUAGAAAUAUAUUGUUGUACUAAGCCAUCAGCACCAAAAAUACCAAAAAAAAUGAUACUAACAUUCUCCACAAAAAUAGUAGCCGAAUCCUGCAGUGUUCAUCCAUAACAUGAGAUUAAAUGAAAAUUCUCCUUCGAAGGUUCCAAAAAAACCAAUACCAAGGCCCUCAAUGUCCAUCGAAGACUGUGUCAUUAAAUCAUUUCAGGUCGGUGAGUGCUCCCCAGAUGCAUGAUCCACAAAAUUACAUGACCAUCACAAAACUUGAAUAGAAGUUUUGAAUGGGAAAAAUUACCUGACCACAACCAGCAUUGAAGCAAAAAAACUUAUCCAUCAAAUGAUCUGCCAACUGGAUAAAAAUUGAAUCUUUUCAGUUUUUCUCAACAUGCAACAGCACAAAAUCCUGUGAUCAUCAAAGAAAAGCACAAAAAGCUCCUUAACAACAGUGCACGCCAUUAGAAAACAAGGAAUCAGUCACUGAACAAGAACCCUCGUAGCAAAAAGCCAGAAAACCCAAUAAAAUUAAAAAUUUAAGAAGAAAAUGAAUUUGAGCAAAUUCACCAACUGAACGGACAAAUUGGCCAAUUGGGUUUUCAAUAAUUCAUCCAACAUACCAAGAUUAAUCAGUGAAGGGGCUUAACUUGUACUAGCACAUAUCAGCUUUUGUAGCUGUUGCUUUUUCUUCUUAUUAUGAACUUGCAAAAUGGAAUUAAAUAUGUGAAUGGGAUUCAGAAAGAAAGGAAAAGGAGACACUUAAACUCUUCUAAUCACUCAACAAGAGUUUCCCAUAUAACAACAGUGAUUGGAAUCAAAUUCAUCUGUGCCUAGAUAUAUAGCAGUAGUAGGAAAGAAACAGCCAAGGGGAUGCUCUUUAUGUACUAUUUGCUUGCUAUUUUCUCAACCGCCCUCCCCCCUUUCCACGCAUUAAAAAAGGGGCAAAUGUGGAACAACAUAUAACCUUGUUGACUUUGCUGUCUCGGGCUCAGCUGUCUGUUGCCAUUACACAGCUCUGUGUUGUGUGUUUGUUUAGGCUGAGUCUCAAAAAACUGCUUUUGAAGGACACUUUUUAAGAAUGAUUUUUAACGUUUUAUGAGAAGCGGCAGAGGUAACCCCGGGACCUGACACAUGUGUUGCGCUAUCUUUGUUUGUGUGUGUGUAUAUAUAUAUUUUGUUUCAGAAUUAUCCAAUUUCUUGGGUGCAAUUGCAGAUUUGCCCGCAUCAGUUUACCAAGGCCCUCGAUAAUCUCGAGAACAAGUGUCUCGUACAUGUGUAUAAACUCACUGAACGCAUGUAUAUACUCCAACAGUAGAUGUACAGAUUGACCCUUUUGUGUACUCCAAUAUUAUGAUUAUGUACAUCAUCUUAACCAAUUAAAUGAAUUUGGAUGCAAUCUCGCAGCAAAUUACCUAGCUGUGGCCCAUUUUUGUAAUUGUCGAUGGAGGGCCUUGCAUAGUUUUAGCAAUGGCCAUUUAUAUAGUUGUGCAACACACAAUAUGCAUGUAUACUUCUUGCAUAAUGAAAGUACAACUCAACAUUGAACGUGAUUUAUUGAGAAAUCUUGACCAUUUACCUUGACUUCAAUUAUUUAUAAAUUGCAAUUUGUUACGUGUUGUAAUUGUAAUCGUAUUAGACUAGCAUAACUUUUCCAAAAAAAAGACCAAAUAAAAGAAGGAUUAAUCUUUCUUACACUAAUAGUGUAUACACUGUCAGCAGCAUUUGAUGAAUAACAACGAUGCAAAAUUUGAAUUUCACACAUGUAACAAAUCAAACGGUGAUAAUGCAUACACUGUUAGUGUAUAUAAGAUUUACUUAUAAAAGAAUCAAAAAGAAAAAACCUUCUUGGUUAAGUCUAGUACAAGACGUAUAAACAGGGUGUUAAAAGCAAUGAAAUUCAAUUAGAUGUCAAGUUAAAAGCAUAGCACGCUAAUUGGGUUUUUGCGCAUUUGCAUGCUUUAGUUAGACAAAUCAAUCAUUUACAUGCUUCAUUGCUAUGAGUAGCACUGAAAGUUAGAAAGAAAACUGUCACGUAAACGCAGUGGGCAUGGACUAGUUCUGUCUAUCUAGGACUGACUGAUCAUUGCUGGGGAUUAGGUUUAAUUAAACAAUUUUUUACUUUUGUAAGAAAAGGAAAAAGGAAAAAACAUUGCAGGGGGUUACUGAGGUUUGUGGGGGGUCUUUAUCCCUUAGUAGCAGCAGUCUUACAGGCUUCCCUAUUCUGUCUACCCACAUCGUUUUUGGGGGAUAAGGGUUGGGUAGGUAAGUCUCUAUGUUUGCAUUAAAAGUUAUCCGUUUUUGAGAUUAAAUUUGGAAUUAGAUUUAAUUAAACAAUUUCUUACUUCUGUAAGAAAAGGAAAAAGGACUGACUGAUCAUUAAUCUCUUGUUUUAAUGUCUACAGCAAUUUUUCAACAGGUGAGGGAAGAAAAGUAUAAAUAAAAAAAAGAGUACUAAAAUGAGAACAAAAAUUGCCGAGUUUGUUACAGUAAGAAGGCAAGAAAGUAGGAUAAGGAUGAGAAUGCGGUUCCAAGAGUGAAUGAAUAAAUUGCAAACGUACAAGGAUCUUAGAUAGAUCUGUGGAGGAGAGGAAGAAAGCAGUGGAUAAUCACUCAAGGGUUGAAUCUUGAAUUGCCAGCUUGAACAAAUGCUGCAAUAACGUGUCUAAAUUGUACAAGAAAAACCACAAAUACGAUAUAGAUAUGGAUAUACAAAAUACGGAAGAAACCCUGCAACUGUUCAAUAAUUUAUUGCAGAGUUGAUAAUCGGUGACUUGGUUGACCAGGUCAAGAAGAUUGACCUUGAAAAUGUUCCUUGACUUGAGUGGUCCUUGUCCACCAAAUAUUUAUCUAUCGCCUUCACUUCACUGUCCACCAUCAGUAAUCCGGACGUGCACAGCACCACAACAUAUUUACUAGUAUUAUUAAUUUAGGUGGAUUUUCUUUUUAAUUUUUUCAAACCAAAAAACAGUCUCUUACUAUUUAGUUGGUGAAGGAAAUGGUGGCUAAAAUUAAUAUCUUUUGGAGUCGAAACUUUAUUGUCUAAAUAAAAUUAGAAUGAAAUACCUUUUAUUUUGUUAUAGUUUGAUAUUUUACUACAUAACCUCCCUAUGAUUUGAAAACUUUAUAUAUAACCUUCUUAUGAUUUGAAUUAAAGUGCGGCUGUUAUAUUUUUGGUUAAAACUAGUGGUCUACGUUAAAAAGUUAAUAUCAAACUAAUAAAUUGACAACUUUAACCAUUUGCUACCUUUUUUUUUCUUUCUCAUUUUCCUUUGAGAAGAGAGGAGAUGUUUUAUGGAAAAGUGUACUUUAGCUUAAAUGUUAAAUUUGUAAUGGAGAACCUAGGCAAUCAAAUUAAACUGACCAAAACUGUGCAGCCCUGUAAGAGUUUUGGAAAUAAUAAACAAAAGAAAAGAAAAUUCUAAAUUUACACUAAGAAAUUGGCGGUGUUUGAGAGUCAAGAAAGCAAUAAACUGAUUUGAUAUUCAUUUCAGAAUUCUAUUCUGUCCUUCAGCAUGUUAACGCAAAGUUUGGAACUACAAAUUUAUAUCAAGACCUUAAACAAUAGUCUCAAUUUCUCUCGAUAAUCCCCAAUUUCAGUCCAAGUCUCUUCUAUUAUUUCCCACGGUUGAAAUAGAGAUUUUCUCCCUUAGAUUGUCCUUUGAGCCGUUCUUUAGUGACUCUCUGAGUGUUAAUCUAACUGUGUGCGUGAGUUCUUGCCGUCUUGAGAGAAAAAAAAAUAGAGAUUUUCUCUUCUUUUUUUUUUUUUUUCCUUUUUCUCCUUAAUUUGUUUAAAUUCAAACUAAGCCUUCUAAGUUACUAAUUGCAUACAACAUUAUUGGACCCUAACAAUAAGUACGAAGAAAAGUUACAACAACUGAGGCAACGUGGAUGAUAGGCUUCAUGGCUAUUGGCCUGGAAUGUUGUACACUUUUCAAUUAGGUCCUACACUUGCCAUUUUCUCAUUUACAACGUACUUAAAGAAACCCCUAGGACUUUUAACAUCUAAAACUCAGAUUAAAACCAGGCAUGAUCUCAGUGGCCAUUAAUCAUAUUUCCUAAUGGAAGCAAAAUGUUACUAUCUCAUUAUUGAUAUAAGAAGGUCCACAUGGAAGUGCUGUUACUAUAACUCCAUGUCGUGGGACACAAUGUUGAAAAGAUUUGAUUUCCAAGAAGGCAAAAAUAGAGGAACAUGAUUAUAGUCGUUUAUGCCAACUACUAACGUGCUAUCCUUUAGCUUUCCACAUUUGAAAAUUGCGAUACAAAUUUAACCAUUCAAAGGGAAUUUUUGCUCAUAUUAGCAAACCGAGCACCAAACUAUUUUCUUGAUGGAAGUUUCUACAAAUUUUCAAACCUAAAGAAUACUGAUAUUUUUCAAUCCACCUUUUUAUAUUCUCAACUAUUUUUUAUUUCACAUAUAUUACAUCACAAAAAGUGUUAUAGUAAUUAUUUCAAAUAAUACUAUAUAGUAGAGAAAGGAGUAGUCUUAAUCUUAAAAUUUUGACAUUUAUAUACUAGAGAUUGUUAUGCCCUUUUCAACGGAAAAGAUAAAUGGGAAUAUAUCUCAAAAUUUGGGCUCCGUUUGGCAAGUGGAUUUUUUGGGUGUUUGUCUAAAACUUUACUGUAGCUUACUGAAGAAGUUUUUAAAAAAUUUUUGAAGUGUGCAAAUUUUUGAAUAUUUUAAAGUGUAUAGUUUAAAAUUUUUGAGAAGUUUUUUGAGGUUGCUGUAGUUAAAGUUUUUAAAAAACUUGUAACAGACAAAUUUGGCAAAAAACUCAAGUGCCAAACAGGGCCCAAGAGUAACUGAGCAACUUAAAAAUAAACUAGAUCAAACAAUUGGUGACUUUUGCACCCUAAUACGUUCUUGAUCGAGUUUACGAAAAAACAAUAAGAGAGUUUGGAUAGUAAACUUAUUCCAAAUAAUAUUUCGCUUGCAUCAUAACACAUUUUUCAACCCACCUUCUUAUAUUCUCAAUCACCUUUUUAUCUCACAUACAUCACAUCACAAAAAGUAUUACAGUAAUUAUUCCAAAUAAUAUUUCAAAUAAUGUUCUUAAUCUUCAUAAAUAGGCUUGAAAAAUUGAUCAAUGAAGUUAACACAUGAACAGCUCAUGGACCCUAUCAUUUCUUUGGACAAAAUGUUGGGGUUUAACUCGAUCUAUAUAGUUGUUGCCAUUGCGACAUCUCACUCCUCAAUUCGGUGAGAAUCGUGGAUGACGUAGUACCUAAAAGAGGAGAACAAAAUAUUGAACGUAUUUUAACCUACAGUCGUACUUUGUCUUAAAACGGGUUACGCUAGCUAGCUCCAACUUACAUCAUUAUUGCUUGAAACAAAAAACCCAAGGCAAAAGAGCUCCAACCCUUUGAAAAAGAACCGAUCAACCGAUUGCCCCAAGUCAACUUACGUAAGAUCGUUAAAAAGAAUCAAUAAAAGCAUCGGUUUGCAAAGCUAUCCCCUUUGUUUUCUUCCCCAAAACAUGCAAUUCUUGAGAACGAACAAGACAAAUGAUGCAAGCCGUUGCACAUGAAAGGUUUGCAGAUUUUUUUUGCAAUCCAGAAAACGUUAAACGAAGAGGAGGUGGCUAAGCGGAGAACGCAACUUGGAGGAAUAAAGCGUCCUUCAAACCAGAAACUUCACCGAAUGCUUUUAACGGGUGAAGGCGUGUUUUAUUUUAGGCGAAAAUCAGCCGUCGAUCACCUUACUGUGCAGUAACUCGAUUCAAUUAAUCUACGUACAACCCAAAAUUUUUUGCGCACCUAUUUUUGUAACGGCCAACGCCUUGGGUUCACUUCUUCGGAUCCUUGAUGCUAUUUCUACAAGGCUUGGAAGGUCGUACAUGACACUUACUUAGUUCCUUGGUCCUUGACGGUCCUUGAUAUCAUUUGUAAUGGUACCCGAUCCAUAGCUCAAGGACCGCCUAACAUCUCAGGUUCACUUCUUUGGGUCCUUGAUGCUAUUUCUUUGACAUCUCAUAAGCACCUGCGUGACACUUAGUCCUUGAUACCA
This 38794-nucleotide long non-coding RNA is filed under the name Coffea arabica (coffee). RNAcentral describes it as "long non-coding RNA (CARA_LNC006744)". The record is from RNAcentral. Lineage: Eukaryota; Viridiplantae; Streptophyta; Magnoliopsida; Gentianales; Rubiaceae.